UCUCAAAUAGCUCAGUUGGUUAGAGUAUCGUGCUAAUAACGCGGUGGUCCAGGGUUCGAGUCCCUGUUUGAGAA
RNAcentral lists this transfer RNA (74 nucleotides) under Ecytonucleospora hepatopenaei. RNAcentral describes it as "Enterocytozoon sp. ST-2009a tRNA". It matches the Rfam family "tRNA". Rfam says of the family: Transfer RNA (tRNA) molecules are approximately 80 nucleotides in length. Lineage: Eukaryota; Fungi; Microsporidia; Enterocytozoonidae. The record is from Rfam by way of RNAcentral.